GAUGAACGCUGGCGGCGUGCUUAACACAUGCAAGUCGAACGGAAAGGCCCAAGCUUGCUUGGGUACUCGAGUGGCGAACGGGUGAGUAACACGUGGGUGAUCUGCCCUGCACUUCGGGAUAAGCCUGGGAAACUGGGUCUAAUACCGGAUAGGACGAUGGUUUGGAUGCCAUUGUGGAAAGUUUUUUCGGUGUGGGAUGAGCUCGCGGCCUAUCAGCUUGUUGGUGGGGUAAUGGCCUACCAAGGCGUCGACGGGUAGCCGGCCUGAGAGGGUGUACGGCCACAUUGUGACUGAGAUACGGCCCAGACUCCUACGGGAGGCAGCAGUGGGGAAUAUUGCACAAUGGGCGCAAGCCUGAUGCAGCGACGCCGCGUGGGGGAUGACGGCCUUCGGGUUGUAAACUCCUUUCGCUAGGGACGAAGCGUUUUUGUGACGGUACCUGGAGAAGAAGCACCGGCUAACUACGUG
RNAcentral lists this ribosomal RNA (468 nucleotides) under uncultured bacterium. RNAcentral describes it as "partial 16S ribosomal RNA". It matches the Rfam family "Bacterial small subunit ribosomal RNA", at positions 28 to 507 of the family's 1533-position model. The record is from RNAcentral.